Molecule: ribosomal RNA, 809 nt
Filed under: uncultured bacterium
Lineage: Bacteria
Description: bacterial SSU rRNA
Rfam family: Bacterial small subunit ribosomal RNA
Source: RNAcentral
AGAGUUUGAUCCUGGCUCAGAUUGAACGCUGGCGGCAUGCUUUACACAUGCAAGUCGGACGGCAGCACAGAGAAGCUUGCUUCUUGGGUGGCGAGUGGCGAACGGGUGAGUAAUAUAUCGGAACGUACCGAGUAAUGGGGGAUAACUAAUCGAAAGAUUAGCUAAUACCGCAUAUUCUCUGAGGAGGAAAGCAGGGGACCUUCGGGCCUUGCGUUAUUCGAGCGGCCGAUAUCUGAUUAGCUAGUUGGUGGGGUAAAGGCCUACCAAGGCGACGAUCAGUAGCGGGUCUGAGAGGAUGAUCCGCCACACUGGGACUGAGACACGGCCCAGACUCCUACGGGAGGCAGCAGUGGGGAAUUUUGGACAAUGGGCGCAAGCCUGAUCCAGCCAUGCCGCGUGUCUGAAGAAGGCCUUCGGGUUGUAAAGGACUUUUGUCAGGGAAGAAAAGGCUGCUGCUAAUAUCGACAGCUGAUGACGGUACCUGAAGAAUAAGCACCGGCUAACUACGUGCCAGCAGCCGCGGUAAUACGUAGGGUGCGAGCGUUAAUCGGAAUUACUGGGCGUAAAGCGAGCGCAGACGGUUACUUAAGCAGGAUGUGAAAUCCCCGGGCUCAACCUGGGAACUGCGUUCUGAACUGGGUGACUAGAGUGUGUCAGAGGGAGGUAGAAUUCCACGUGUAGCAGUGAAAUGCGUAGAGAUGUGGAGGAAUACCGAUGGCGAAGGCAGCCUCCUGGGAUAACACUGACGUUCAUGCUCGAAAGCGUGGGUAGCAAACAGGAUUAGAUACCCUGGUAGUCCACGCCCUAAA